RNAcentral lists this ribosomal RNA (615 nucleotides) under Saccharomyces cerevisiae (brewer's yeast). RNAcentral's name for it is "eukaryotic LSU rRNA". It matches the Rfam family "Eukaryotic large subunit ribosomal RNA", at positions 37 to 667 of the family's 3401-position model. The record is from RNAcentral. Lineage: Eukaryota; Fungi; Ascomycota; Saccharomycetes; Saccharomycetales; Saccharomycetaceae.
UGCAUAUCUUAAGCUGAGGAAAAGAAACCAACCGGGAUUGCCUUAGUAACGGCGAGUGAAGCGGCAAAAGCUCAAAUUUGAAAUCUGGUACCUUCGGUGCCCGAGUUGUAAUUUGGAGAGGGCAACUUUGGGGCCGUUCCUUGUCUAUGUUCCUUGGAACAGGACGUCAUAGAGGGUGAGAAUCCCGUGUGGCGAGGAGUGCGGUUCUUUGUAAAGUGCCUUCGAAGAGUCGAGUUGUUUGGGAAUGCAGCUCUAAGUGGGUGGUAAAUUCCAUCUAAAGCUAAAUAUUGGCGAGAGACCGAUAGCGAACAAGUACAGUGAUGGAAAGAUGAAAAGAACUUUGAAAAGAGAGUGAAAAAGUACGUGAAAUUGUUGAAAGGGAAGGGCAUUUGAUCAGACAUGGUGUUUUGUGCCCUCUGCUCCUUGUGGGUAGGGGAAUCUCGCAUUUCACUGGGCCAGCAUCAGUUUUGGUGGCAGGAUAAAUCCAUAGGAAUGUAGCUUGCCUCGGUAAGUAUUAUAGCCUGUGGGAAUACUGCCAGCUGGGACUGAGGACUGCGACGUAAGUCAAGGAUGCUGGCAUAAUGGUUAUAUGCCGCCCGUCUUGAAACACGGACC